CCUACGGGGGGCAGCAGUGGGGGAUAUUGCACAAUGGGGGAAACCCUGAUGCAGCGACGCCGCGUGGGUGAAGAAGCGCCUCGGCGCGUAAAGCCCUGUCAGCAGGGAAGAAAAUGACGGUACCUGAAGAAGAAGCCCCGGCUAACUACGUGCCAGUAGCCGCGGUAAUACGUAGGGGGCAAGCGUUAUCCGGAUUUACUGGGUGUAAAGGGGGCGCAGACGGCGAUGCAAGCCAGGAGUGAAAGCCUGGGGCCCAACCCCGGGACUGCUCUUGGAACUGCGUGGCUAGAGUGCAGGAGGGGCAG
RNAcentral lists this ribosomal RNA (305 nucleotides) under uncultured bacterium. Its description in RNAcentral is "bacterial SSU rRNA". It matches the Rfam family "Bacterial small subunit ribosomal RNA", at positions 338 to 660 of the family's 1533-position model. The record is from RNAcentral.